This 31-nucleotide non-coding RNA is filed under the name Mus musculus (house mouse). Lineage: Eukaryota; Metazoa; Chordata; Mammalia; Rodentia; Muridae. The record is from RNAcentral.
UGAGGAAUGAGGAUGGUUCUAGAACCCAUGC